CCUACGGGUGGCAGCAGUAGGGAAUCUUCCACAAUGGGCGCAAGCCUGAUGGAGCAACACCGCGUGAGUGAAGAAGGGUUUCGGCUCGUAAAGCUCUGUUGUCGGGGAAGAACGUGCUUGCGAGUAACUGUUCACGAGGUACCGCUAACAAACCACCAAGUCCCGGCUUACUACGUGCCAGCCACCGCGGUAACACGUAGGCGGCAAGCGUUAUCCGGAUUGACUGGGCGUAAAGAGAGCGGAGGCGGGUGCUGAGGUCUGAGGUGAAAGCCCUGGGCUUAACCGAGGAAUUGCCUUGGAAACUGGGCUACUUGAGUGCAGAAGAGGACAGUGGAAUUCCAGGUGUAGCGGUGGAAUGCGUAGAUAUAUGGAGGAACACCAGUGGCGAAGGCGGCUGUCUGGUCUGCAACUGACGCUGAGGCUCGAAAGCAUGGGGAGCGAACAGGAUUAGAUACCCUUGUAGUC
Molecule: ribosomal RNA, 465 nt
Filed under: uncultured bacterium
Lineage: Bacteria
Description: partial 16S ribosomal RNA
Rfam family: Bacterial small subunit ribosomal RNA
Source: RNAcentral